AAGUUGGGUGGAGAGAGUGAGUCACUGGCUCGAACCCUCCACUGCAGGAUCCAAUCCGGCGGGCGGGGAGGCCCUGGGUCCUGGAACUGGGAGACGGUUCUGAAAGGCCAGGAUCAGAUGGCCCCCACCAAACUCUGCGACUUCAGACCACUUCCUGAAUUUAUCUGGGUCUCAGUUUGUCCUGCGAAAUAGGAGCAGUCCCAGACCAUGUAUCUACUGUGUUUCAAGCACCGACCCAGGCGCUGGGGCUGCAACAGAUCAUUAAGGGUUGUGCAGACAGAGCAAGACGUGCAGGGACACCGAGCUCCACACCUACAGAGGGUCCGAAUGGAUAAAGGUUUGGAGUGUGAACGUGUAUGACUCCCACAAAGAGAA
Long non-coding RNA from Myotis davidii, 375 nucleotides. RefSeq lists it as uncharacterized. The transcript is spliced from 2 exons. Lineage: Eukaryota; Metazoa; Chordata; Mammalia; Chiroptera; Vespertilionidae. The record is from RefSeq and is a predicted model, not a curated record.